Non-coding RNA from Gossypium raimondii (Peruvian cotton), 87 nucleotides. The record is from Rfam. Lineage: Eukaryota; Viridiplantae; Streptophyta; Magnoliopsida; Malvales; Malvaceae.
CACGUUAGCGCGCUUUGCUGACGUGGCAGCAAAUCGCGUUCUAGAGGGCGCGAUUUGUUGCCACAUCAGCAUAGCGCGCUGACGUGG